AUAUCUCUCUGUACGGGAAGGAUGAGAAGCUUCGACUAAGGUUCGAUUCGAGCGUCAGCGAGAAAGCGUUGCCGCAGGCAACGACCCGAAGGGCGAAGCGCGCAGCGCUGAGUCAUCCUUCCCCCAC
RNAcentral lists this small RNA (127 nucleotides) under Salmonella enterica. RNAcentral's name for it is "partial RtT sRNA". It matches the Rfam family "RtT RNA". Rfam says of the family: This family represents a bacterial cis-regulatory element known as RtT RNA. The exact function of RtT is unknown although it is thought that it may be involved in changing the cellular response in relation to amino acid starvation. Lineage: Bacteria; Pseudomonadati; Pseudomonadota; Gammaproteobacteria; Enterobacterales; Enterobacteriaceae. The record is from RNAcentral. RNAcentral also lists the same sequence under 1 other name.